AGCGAACGCUGGCGGCAGGCCUAACACAUGCAAGUCGAACGAAGUCUUCGGACUUAGUGGCGGACGGGUGAGUAACACGUGGGAACGUGCCUUUAGGUUCGGAAUAACUCAGGGAAACUUGUGCUAAUACCGAAUGUGCCCUUCGGGGGAAAGAUUUAUCGCCUUUAGAGCGGCCCGCGUCUGAUUAGCUAGUUGGUGAGGUAAAGGCUCACCAAGGCGACGAUCAGUAGCUGGUCUGAGAGGAUGAUCAGCCACAUUGGGACUGAGACACGGCCCAAACCCCUACGGGAGGCAGCAGUGGGGAAUCUUGCGCAAUGGGCGAAAGCCUGACGCAGCCAUGCCGCGUGAAUGAUGAAGGUCCUAGGAUCGUAAAAUUCUUUCACCGGGGACGAUAAUGACGGUACCCGGAGAAGAAGCCCCGGCUAACUUCGUGCCAGCAGCCGCGGUAA
RNAcentral lists this ribosomal RNA (449 nucleotides) under uncultured bacterium. RNAcentral's name for it is "partial 16S ribosomal RNA". It matches the Rfam family "Bacterial small subunit ribosomal RNA", at positions 29 to 523 of the family's 1533-position model. The record is from RNAcentral.